AUUGAACGCUGGCGGCAUGCCUUACACAUGCAAGUCGAACGGUAGCGGGCCUUCGGGUGCCGACGAGUGGCGAACGGGUGAGUAAUGUAUCGGAACGUACCAUUGAGUGGGGGAUAACGUAGCGAAAGUUACGCUAAUACCGCAUAUUCUCUCCGGAGGAAAGCAGGGGACCGCAAGGCCUUGCGCUCUUUGAGCGGCCGAUAUCAGAUUAGCUAGUUGGUGAGGUAAAGGCUCACCAAGGCGACGAUCUGUAGCGGGUCUGAGAGGAUGAUCCGCCACACUGGAACUGAGACACGGUCCAGACUCCUACGGGAGGCAGCAGUGGGGAAUUUUGGACAAUGGGGGGCAACCCUGAUCCAUCCAUGCCGCGUGAGUGAAGAAGGCCUUCGGGUUGUAAAGCUCUUUCGGCCGGGAAGAAAUCGCAUGGGCUAAUACCCUGUGCGGAUGACGGUACCGGCAUAAGAAGCACCGGCUAACUACGUGCCAGCAGCCGCGGUAAUACGUAGGGUGCGAGCGUUAAUCGGAAUUACUGGGCGUAAAGCGUGCGCAGGCGGUUUUGUAAGACAGGCGUGAAAUCCCCGGGCUCAACCUGGGAACUGCGUUUGUGACUGCAAGGCUAGAGUACGGCAGAGGGGGGUGGAAUUCCACGUGUAGCAGUGAAAUGCGUAGAGAUGUGGAGGAACACCAAUGGCGAAGGCAGCCCCCUGGGUCGAUACUGACGCUCAUGCACGAAAGCGUGGGUAGCAAACAGGAUUAGAUACCCUGGUAGUCCACGCCCUAAACGAUGUCAACUAGGUGUUGGGUGGGUGAAACCAUUUAGUACCGGA
RNAcentral lists this ribosomal RNA (827 nucleotides) under uncultured bacterium. RNAcentral's name for it is "bacterial SSU rRNA". It matches the Rfam family "Bacterial small subunit ribosomal RNA", at positions 28 to 850 of the family's 1533-position model. The record is from RNAcentral.